This is a long non-coding RNA of Gadus chalcogrammus (walleye pollock), 5860 nucleotides long. RefSeq lists it as uncharacterized. The transcript has 7 exons. NCBI's taxonomy places the organism in Eukaryota, Metazoa, Chordata, Actinopteri, Gadiformes, Gadidae. The record is from RefSeq and is a predicted model, not a curated record.
UUAAAAUGCUCCUUACCGUAGCACCAACGAGCUGUGUGGUUUUCACAGUAGGUUUUGGUCUGCCCUCUGCUUUCACUCGUAGUCAGUUCACGAUAGCUGUCCAAUGAAGGCGGUGACUGGCCAGAGUGUUGUGUCAAGUGACUGAAGUGCAAAAUUCUACCCUAUCGGUCACUGGUUCACGGGUGGGACUUAUCUGCCAUAAGGAUCAAUUGAAACGGAAAAUAAACACGAGCCGCCUGGGGUUCACUCGAUUUACAUUGAAGUCAAUGGGAAUAGUGGCGCUGUUGUGACUCACAUAAUUGAUUUCAGGAAAACAGCUCGUCUUCCCCGAGAUGAAGCCUCGAACGUCACGCGCCACGUCAUUUCGCCUAUGUGAUACGGAGCUUCGCUGGGGGAGGAGCCGAGGUACUCGACACACGCCCCGAUGCCUCGACGCAAACCAUAACAUCACUACCUGAGAGUACACCCGUCCGCCUGUAGACAAUAAAGUGUCAUUUACAAUUCAUAAACGCACUGUUUACAAUUAUUCCAACGAUAUUCUGUUGUUUAAGAAAGAAAAAAGGAUUCUUUCUGUGGCGGGUCGAUAACUCGGAUCUCCAGGUUUCCUUUCGUUAUGCUUCCAUCACGCUGAUUUCAGAUUCGCCUGUCAUCGUGUGACCGGUGGUCUACAGUGUUUAUUAAAGUCUAGACAUCUCCGAAUGCUUUGCAACCGUUCUCCACGGGAACAAGCGUGGGCAUCGUUCAGCCCACCUGAACGUGUACAACUCAUACUUACCUGGCAAGGGAGAUACCACGAUCAAGAAGGUGGUUCACCCAUAGCGAGGCUCAGCCAUUGCACUGAGGCUGUUGCUGACCCGUGCGAAUUCCCCAAAUGUGGGAAUCUCGAUUGCAUAAUUUCUGGUAGUGGGGGACUGCGUUCGCGCUCUCCCCUGAUCAUGUUGUUCUAAAGAAAUAAUAGCUAUGAAUGGCUUCAUCGCGCUGACUAAUGCCGUCCAUCCCACGUUUUGCAACGCUACGUUUAUUCAAAAGAUCACGCAAACGAUCACGCCCAAGCAGUGUAAUGCAUUACAUUCAGAUGUGGAACUCUGAGUCUGGAAUAACGUAGUCAUUCAUUCAUUCAUUUCUUUCAUUCAUUAUGGAUCAAAUUAUUGUUUCUGUACAAGUCCCGUCUCUGGCCACAGCAGCGCUCCCACUCAUUAUGGGUUCCUCCUGUAUAAAAGUUAGUAUGGACAAGACAAUAAUUGCUUACGGCCAUACCACCCUGAGCACGCGCGAUCUCGUCUGAUCUCGGAGGCUAAGCAGGGUCAACUCGAGCUCAUUGGCUGCAAUAGAGUUCCGGGUGUUGACGUUGUUGGGGCGGGGAAAACGUGGGCACCACCAUUUUGGCAGUAUUCGGCAGACUGGCGCUCUUGUGGUGGAGCAGACAUGGUCGAUAACUGUUGUGCACCAGGUUGCACAAAUAAACGAGGCAAAAAUAAAUGUACGUCGUUCUACCGCAUUCCUAAAGAUGCGGAGAGGCGAGCUAAGUGGAUCAGCGCCAUUAAAAGAGCCAGGAGCAAGCAAAAAAAGACUGAAAAAUGGGACCCCCCGGCUGUUGGAUUCCGCUUGUGCAGCGAUCACUUCAUAUCAGGGCCCGACAGGACCAAGAGGUGAAAGGGUAAGCCACUAUCAAACUCAUUAAUUAUGACAAGAUGCAUGACAAUGCCAUGUUUGCUGGAUAGAAACUUUCAUGAAGUUUAUCGGGUUGAUAUAUGAUGACGCCGAUUGACCUUUCAACUUGAAUAGGCCACACCCCUUUGUUUACAUCAGGCACAGCCUAAAGCCCUCCGCCGUGAUAAUAUAACAAAUAAUAAUGGACCAAUCUCUGCUGCACGACGGCUGAAAAUAACCUGAACUACAAAUAUUUGUUGUAUAUUAUUUUUUUCUGACUUUGGCUCACAUAUCCAGAACAAAUUCAUAUUUAUCUUUUCUAAACUUUAUUAACAAUAAUAAAACAAUUUAGUAAAAGGACAUGACGCUUUUAUUCAAGUUGAGACCAAACCGAGCUCCACAGCCGAACAGAGCUGGGACUCUGGCAGCGUCCCAGCAGACACGGUGGCUGUGUGUCAAUCAGUGGUAAUCAACGGAGACUAACCCAAGGCCUUCCUCCACAGGGACCCCAGGGCCCUGACGGGAGGGACGGCAGACCUGGCAACCCCGGCCCUGCUGGGCCCCCAGGACCCCCUGGCCUCGGCAGAAACUUUGCUGCUCAGUAUGAUCACAACAAAGGCGCUGAUAUUGGUCCCGGCCCCAUGGGAAUGAUGGGAAUGAAAGGCCAACCUGGACUUCCCGGCCCCCCUGGAGAAGGAGUGAUAAUCCCUUGAGUCCGGACUUUGUUCCAUCUCUUUUCAACUACGUUCCAUCUCCAGAGAAGAGGAAAAGAAAAAUGAGACUGGAGGUUUUCAACAGACGACAGGGAGCAAAGCUACAGAAGAUGGAGCAGACAAAGCUAUCUGCGAAAGCCAUCCCUCCCAGAGCAUCAACAGAUUGUCCCCAAGACUGCAACAAGGAUCCUACUGCAGAGCAAAGUCCCACCACAGAGCCUUUGAAGGAAUCUACCCAUGAAGAACCUGGAAACGAUGUCCAGCCUGUUCUCCAUGAGGAGGAUCCAGCAACCCCACCAUGCACCACUGAAACCUGUGGUAAACGCGUCCAAUCUCUUGAGCAAGAAUGCCAAGCUCUGAGGACUGAAAAUAUGUUGUUGAAGGAAAAAAUGAAUAGGACUACACUGAAUGAGAUGAGCUUGCAUAACGAUGAUAAAAGGGUUCAUACUCUCACUGGUUUAUCAGCAUUCUCCAUUCUCAUGACAAUUUUUCAUAUUGUGGCUCCUUUUCUCCAACUUAAAUCUAGUUUAACAUGUUUUCAGCAGUACAUGUUAACUUUAAUUAAGCUUAGAAUGAACUUGUCCUUUGAGUUUUGGGCUUUUCAUUUUGACAUUGACUCAACCACUGUUUCAAAGCUCUUCAAACACUGCAUUAGUGUGAUGCAUUGUAGACUGGUGCCAAGUCUGGUGUUGUGGCCUGACAGAAUACUUAAGAAAAUCUCUUCCAUAUGCAUUUCGAAACCGUAGCUUUGAAAAGACAGUUUGCAUUAUAGAUUGUUUUGAAAUAUUUCUAGAGAAACCCAGUAGAUUGCUAGCCAGUGCUCAGUGUUACUCAUCAUACAAAUCACACCACACAAUGAAAUAUUUAAUUGCAAUUUGCCCUCGAGGUUCCAUUUGUUUCAUUUCCGCUGGAUGGGGAGGUCGCACAAGUGAUACGUUUAUCACAGAACAAAGUCACUUUUUAUCUCAUUUGCUCCCAGGGGACGUAGUUUUAGCGGACAGAGGUUGUCUGGUUAAAGAGUCCAUUGAGAGAUGCCAAGCUGAAUUAAAAAUUCCAGCAUUUACUCGUGGAUAGAAGCAGUUAGAUCCUGCUGACUUGGAGAACACCAGACGUCUAGCCUCUCUUAGGAUACAUAUUGAAAGAGUGAUAGGAGUUCUCCGUCAAAAGUACACAGUCUUGCAAAGCACUGUCCCCAUAUGUUUCACGGACAUAGACAGGGAAAAUGAUGUGACCUACCUUGACAAGAUGGUGAGCGUGUGUUGUGCACUUACAAAUGUGUCUGAAUCUCUGGUGUCCUUCCAGUGAUGGGGAUGUACAGUAAAUUGAACUGAUGUGACUGGCUACAGAUGUGCUCAACCAGCAAAUAAACCUUUGUGACUCACACUUCUUGCUUGCUUGUCGUGACAUUAUUUUUAAUCACUCGCUAUUCUGAUGCGAUCACAUCGUUUCUCUUUGCAGAUCAAGCUGCACAUCCACCCAUUCUAACUUGAGUUCCACCCAAACAGAUAUUUGUUCUGGUGUGUUUUAUAUGAAUGACCCACCCAUGUUUCAUAUCCCUGAUUGCUACAGAUAUCUAAUACAAAUUAUGGGGAAGAGAACAAUAUUGGUUUAACAACUGUUUAUUCAUAAAUAACAGUACAGUAUCAGCUACUACAAACAACUCAUUUCACAGUCUCCUCACUAAGGUUUUCUUCUUUGGGCAUUGAUCACUUUUCGGCAGAUGGGACAUACCCACUGUUUUGGGACCCUUUUCAUGCGAAGGCAGGUCUGGUGAAACUUUUUAACUGAACAAAAACCUGACGCACAGACCACCAUGUUCCCUGCUUCUGGCUCAGGGCAGUAGCACCACUGUUGUUGACUAUGAUCAGCAAAUGCUGCUGCUGCUGGUGCUGGUUUCUGUGCAGAAAAACACUUUACUGCCUAAUUAACAGAAAGGUCCUUUGCAGAAAAUGGGCACUUAAUUUCUAUGACACCUGAACCACAGCAGCUACAGGAAACGUAUCCAUCAGGUGAGGCCCCAAUGCAGGGGUGAAAUCCUGAAUCCAGCUGUUCCUACCAUGACAUUCGUGUGUGAGAGGCGAUGACGCAUUUCAUAGUAUUUCCUUGCCAAGUCCUCGUGUUGACAUCCCCAACUGAAGAAAACAACAAUAACAUUAGUUUUGGACAAUAGUAAUGCCACCCCACAUUGGUACCGCCCUGCUCUUUCAAAAGGAUACUACCUACUUGGUUUAACACUCCUGCUUUUUAAGAAUAGUACUUCCUGGAUUUACCCUCCCUGUUAUUGUACCUACUUCACAUUCAUUUGAUUGUACACCAUCUGGAAAUGACCAUUUUACACACAGGAGCAGUUACACACUGCAUGCCCUGUUUUACCCUAAUCCUUCUAUGCUCAUGAAUACCUGGUAGCCUCACUGGUGAAACUAUGGGACUUUUGGGUAGCAUAUUUGUCUUAUUAGAGACACUGCAGGCUUUCUGACGUCUGUCUUUGUGGCUGCUCUGAAGGUAGUUAUAUCUAUCCGGAUACUGCAGAUCUGGGACGUCUUCUUCAGCGGAGAUGCUUUUGAAAAGCACCCCGGGGCCAUUGUAUGGGUCGGUAAUAUUUAACCUAUUUAAUUUUUGCCUAUAGAGCUCGAUGUCAUGCGAAUUAAAGUGAGAUGAGUACUCCGAUGGCUUGAAAGCUUCGGCGCCGGGUCAUUUUAAGGAAGAUCUUUAAGGGCGGCGCUUGAUUUUACUGACAAAAUGGCGUUCCGAACACCGGUGGUCACGUGGGUUCAGGAACUCGAUAUCAUGCAAGCACUUUGUUUUCUUUUUAUUUUGUUCUACACCACAAUUGCAUGCUUUAAACAUGACACGGGGCCAACAGUAAAGGCGUUUUUUCAGCCAACUCCCUGUUAGUGUUGGGAAAAAUAACCUGCUGAGUACAUCACAUGUACAUUACAAAUAUAGCUAACUCCUACCCUAGCCUGAUGAGCACAUCACAUGGCAGUCACAUUACAAUAUAGUCAACUUUUAACACAUAACACAAACAUGAUAAUAUAGUCAGGUCAAGGCCAGAGCCAAGGCCCCAUUUCCCAAGCAGGCAAAUGGUAAACACUCAGACAAUGCAACAGUCAUCCUCAAGAACGGGAGAGCCACAUUAAUUCAUCACACAAGAGAUACUUCGAGCACACAAGAGAUACUUCGAGAACAAAGGAGACACUGAGGAGCUCUUCCCCGUUAGUAGGAACACAAGAAGAUACACUUGCAUACACCAGGGCCUGGGAGCCAAGGUCAAGCAAAAACACACAGAACCACACACACCUCAAACGCACACACCUCAUCGAGAGGAGGAUACAGCAUAAAACUGUAUCACACAGAGACUCUUCAUCUUCUUCUGAAGCAGACCUUCCACGGAGGCGAAGCUCCGGACGAACCAUCAGCGCUGAUUAGGGACUUAGACAUAUUCGAUUUCUCACGCUUUAUGACUCUGUAUAACCGUUGCCACUUUACUUAAUAAA